UCACAGGCGUGUGUUCUGUUCUUCAUAGUGGCUCUGGUCACUGCAGCCGGAUUCUUCAUUUAUGGACCUGGGCCUUUUCCAGUCAUUGAGUCGACCAUGACCACUGCUGUUUAUCAACAUGUUCUAGAGUCUAAUGUGAAACCAUUUGGCCAUCAGAUGAAAACAGCUACUGAGAUCUUAUUUCUGGUUAAGCAACAAGAUUGAGGCAACUUAAAGUGAAAAAUAUCCCUCAUCAUCUCCCUGUUUCUCAGCUCUUCCUCAGUAGAUUGAGGUCUUUUGCUUUAAAGCAUUUAUUCAAUCAAACGCCAAAGAUGAUAAACAGUUAAAGAACUCUGAAUUCCCAAGUGCACAGCUUCUAGAAAGGAGGGAGCUCUGAAACACAAAUUUGAGAAAAUGCAUGUGAGCAUCAUAUAACCCACUGAGGGAAAGACUGCAUCUUCCAAAACAAAUAUUGGAUCCAAAGUGAUGUCUGGUCUGCUGCCUGCAUAUGAGGCUGUACCCCAGGUGAAAAUCUGAUCAUAGAUUCUCUGAUAAGAGAUGGGUCGGUCUCUGAUUUGAUAACUGAAACAAUUUUCCCCACUUCCUGAAGAAGACUAUUGAAACUGCAGCUUCUUGCACUUCCCCAAUAAGAACUCACCCCAGCUGCUAGACUAGAAGUAUUCCCCAUGUCUCUCUCUCCAUUGGUCCUGUUAAACAUGAAAGGUACAGUAAGGAGUGUUUAGGCAACUAACCUAGUUUGAAUAAUUAUUUCAUUGUGUUUUCUUUGUUGUACAUUAUGUUUUUUAAGUUAGAGCAGAUUCCUGAGCUGCUUAAUAAACCUUUCAGUGCUUCAGGCAGUUUUGGAAAGCUGGUGAUGAAAGAGUCACUUUGUUUCAGCAAUUUGAGGAAGAGCUACUUCAGUGUUACCUCUUUUUUCUAACAUUCAUAAAAAAAAUCACAGCAUUGUCCUGGUUUACAUCAGCAUUAAUUAUGCUUUUGGCUGCACAACACAGUGGGCACUGUCAAUUAGAGAAACAGGUUGAUGCACAAAUUUGAUGCAUUGAGGCAACAUUUAAAUAAACCAAAACAUUGCUGCCUUUCUCAAUAUUUAUCAGUGGUGCAGUUUAAGGCACACGCAGUUCUCUAAGUUGGCUGCAGAGGGCAGUAUUGUGUCACUCCCUCAGUGAACAACAGGACCUGAUGGUGGUUUUUCUGUUGCUCAGAGAGCAUUAAUGUCUGAAAGUAGAAGACUAAAACAAUUAAACUGUAAUAAGUUCCUUUAUUUAUUUCAAUAUUAACCUAAAAAAUUAUUUUUAGCGGAGAAGGUGGCUGCGAAAAGAAAUAAUAUCUGAUUGGUUUAUCAAAAUAUGGCUUAAUUGUUAAAGUACACCAGCGUUUUCUUUGGAAUUAUGUCUGAUUUAGUUUUUAAAUGCUUUAUAAUCUGGAAUUUUCAACAGUGAAAAUAUAUGUUUAAUUAAAUAUUAAAAAUUCCCUUAUUCUAGUUAUAAAUCUCAUUAAAUUUUUUUGCAGACCAUGAAGGUGACAAAGCAACCACAGCAUCUCAAUGAACAGCAGUGUUUUUGUCCAUUCAAACAAAAAAGAUAAGAUCAAAUGGCCUUUUAUGUUUCACAGAAGUUUUAACUCAAAUUAGCUAUUUAGUGACUCAGGCCCUCUGAGUUUUUUUUAUUUUCAAUUUUAUUUGAAGUUUGAAAUGAAAUGAUGGUAGGAAAAUAGAUUAGUCACAUUGUGUUUGUUGUAAAAGCACAAAAAUAGUUUCUUAAAGCAAUGUUCGGAUAGUCAAACUUAGUAUCAGAAAUAUCUCUGUAUAUUAAAAUACUGAUUUCUAACAGUAUCUCCACGCCCUGAACAGGAUAGUUUCCCAGUACCUGUGUGGCUCCUUUUUGUAUAAAUUACUGCAUUACGUGGUGUGACAUGGAGGUGAUCUGCUGUUAGUUCUGCUGAGAUGGUCAAGAAGUCCAUAGAUUUCCUGCAGGGUUCAGGUGAGUGGCAUCGCCUGGCCACUCCUGUUUCUAGCCCUGAAUGAUUCUCAUCAAGCUCUGGAUCUUUUUUUUCACUCAGGAAAUUCACUCAGCCCUUUGAUAUCAAAUGAUAAGAGGUUUUGUAAUUUCCAUUCUCCGGUGAAUACAACACAGUCACAACACCAUGACCAAAGACAGAGGAGUUUCUGUGGAAGCGGGCACUCAUCCAUGUUUUAUCCGUGCUGCUAUACACUGUGUGCAGAAUUAUUAGGCAAAUGAGUAUUUCGACCACAUUAUCCUUUUCAUACAUGUUGUUCUACUCCAAAAUUUAUAGGCUUGAAAGCCAACUACCAGUUAAGUAAAUCGGGUGGUGUGCAUCUCUGUAAUGAGAAGGGGUGUGGCCUAAUGACAUCAACACCCUAUAUAAGGUAUCAUUAACUAUUAGGUAACUUCUAAUUUUCCUUUGGCAAAAUGGGUCAGAAAAUGGAUUUGACAGACUCUAAAAAGUGAAAAAUUGUCAGAUGUCUUUCAGAGAGGUGCAGCAGUUUAGAUAUUGCCAAACUUUUGAAGCGGGAUCAUCGAACAACCAAGGGGUUCAUGGCAAAUAGCCAACAGGGACAAAGGUUAGCAAGACAAAGGUUCAGCAAGAAGGUUCAGGUUUUGUUCCCGGCCCGGGGUCUUUCUGCAUAGAGUUUGUAUGUUCUCCCUAUGCAUGCGUGGGUUCUCCCCAGGUACUCUGGUUUCCUCCCACA
Long non-coding RNA from Cyprinodon tularosa, 2710 nucleotides. RefSeq lists it as uncharacterized. The record is from RefSeq and is a predicted model, not a curated record. The transcript is spliced from 4 exons. Lineage: Eukaryota; Metazoa; Chordata; Actinopteri; Cyprinodontiformes; Cyprinodontidae.